UGGGAAGUUUUGGUACACCUACCUUGUGAUUCCAGCAUUCGGGAUAUAUAAAUCUUCUGGUUUAAUUAGGGGUUUAUUGUCGCAAGGAUCAGAGGAUGAACCUAAGGACGAGAAGACUCGCAAGAAGAGGGAAAAGAUGGAGAAGAAAGCUUCAAGAGUGAAAUUUGUGAAGACCAAGAAUAGAUAAUCUUCUCUUCAAAUGAAAACCAAUCAACUUGAGUUAUCAGAUGCAAAUUUGAGCAAAGAUGGAUUGCAGACACAGACAAGUCUAGGUA
Molecule: unclassified non-coding RNA, 275 nt
Filed under: Hevea brasiliensis (rubber tree)
Lineage: Eukaryota; Viridiplantae; Streptophyta; Magnoliopsida; Malpighiales; Euphorbiaceae
Source: RNAcentral